RNAcentral lists this long non-coding RNA (1423 nucleotides) under Mus spicilegus (steppe mouse). Its description in RNAcentral is "lncRNA (ENSMSIG00000029270.1)". Lineage: Eukaryota; Metazoa; Chordata; Mammalia; Rodentia; Muridae. The record is from RNAcentral.
UCUGUGAGAAUACCUAGUCUUCUGGCCCCAGGACAGUUUCUCAGACCUAGAACUCCCAGAGAAGCUGGCCUCAUGGGACUCUAGGGAGAACACUGUGGGGAGGAAGGUGUUGAAACAGAGAGGCGGGCGGGCAGCAGAGGAGCGAAAUGGAGGAUCCCUUUCAAAAUAAAUGUCAUCCAGCAGGACAAGGCUCACAGCUUCUGGAUUGGGCUCCCUUCGUUCACCUCUUGGGCCCCUCCUACCCCUGCCCUUUGGAUCCAUGAUACCCUCUUACUUUCCAUCUGCAAAGAGGCGGAGGAUCUCCGGAAAGGAGCUACCUAGCUCCUGGCUGGCUCUGCAAGUAUUUCCCAGUUUCCCUCCCUUGCCUGUGUCUCCAAACCUGUCUGACCAGAGCGGGUGGGGCCCAGAUUAAAGGCGCAGGCCCUGCCCUACAGAAUCUGCCUACUGGAAGGACUCUACAGGAGGACGUCAUCCUUUUUGAAAGUAAGGGUGCAGCUGGGCACAGAGGUGUGGACUUAAUGUAUUCUGGGAUCUGUAAGAGCUUCCAGCUCAGGGAAGCAUCAGGGUAUAAAAGUGGGUUUGUGUAUCAAAGGGUGCUCAGAGUAAAUUGGCUAAAAGAUGACACUGCAAGUUUGUUCAUCCAGUAAAUGUUUAUUGGGUAUCUAUUAUUAAUGAGGCGCUAUUUCUAUGGUGGUACAAGCCUUUAAUCCCAGCACAUGAGGCAGAGGCAGGCAGAUUUCUGAGUCUGAAGCCAGGCUGGUCCAGCAGCCAGAGUUAUGUAGAGACACUCUCUCUCUCUCUCUCUCUCUCUCUCUCUCUCUCUCUCUCUCUCACACACACACACACACACACACUCCAACAAACAAAAAAAGUGCUAGUCUAGGCACAUGUACAGAAAAGAACAAAGUGACAAGGUUUCUAGCUGUUCAGGUAACCAACAUUAAAGUUCACACCAAAUCAGUAGUAGAAUUUCAGUAGUGAGAGCCUCUUUAGGGUGACUCUGAAGCUGAAACCCAGUGGAAGUUCCCUGUAGAGGAACAGCGCAGCCAACAGAUGGAAAAAGACUUGAGGCAGUUUGAGGAAUAGAAAGGAGACUUGGUGGCUGGAGCCAGGAGCAUAGUGGUAUAUACAUUGCCAUUAUAAUGUGNNNNNNNNNNGAGAGAGAGAGAGAGAGAGAGAGAGAGAGAGAGAGAGAGAGAGAGAGAGAGAGAGAGAGUGAACCCCAAAGAUCUGCCUUAUAGUUUGGAAAACAAUAGGGCUGACAAGAUGGCUCACCAAGCCUGACUACCUGAGUCUGAUUCCCCAGAGAACCACACUUUAAAAGAAAACUGACUCUCCCAAGUUCUCUGGCCACGUGUAUGUUGUAUGCAUGCACCCACAAAAUAUAAAUAAAUAACUCUCUGGGGAAGAAUUCCUUUAAAAA